Molecule: ribosomal RNA, 565 nt
Filed under: uncultured bacterium
Lineage: Bacteria
Description: bacterial SSU rRNA
Rfam family: Bacterial small subunit ribosomal RNA
Source: RNAcentral
CCUACGGGAGGCAGCAGUGGGGAAUCUUGUGCAAUGGACGAAAGUCUGACACAGCCACGCCGCGUGCGGGAAGAAGGCCUUCGGGUUGUAAACCGCUUUCAGCAGGAACGAAAAUGACGGUACCUGCAGAAGAAGAUGCGGCCAACUACGUGCCAGCAGCCGCGGUGAUACGUAGGCAUCAAGCGUUGUCCGGAUUUAUUGGGCGUAAAGAGCUCGUAGGCGGUUCAGCAAGUCGGGUGUGAAAACUCUGGGCUUAACCCAGAGCCUGCACUCGAAACUGCUGUGACUAGAGUUCGGUAGGGGAGCAGGGAAUUCCUAGUGUAGCGGUGAAAUGCGCAGAUAUUAGGAGGAACACCAAUGGCGAAGGCACUGCUCUGGGCCGAUACUGACGCUGAGGAGCGAGAGCGUGGGUAGCAAACAGGAUUAGAUACCCUGGUAGUCCACGCCGUAAACGAUGGGCACUAGGUGUGGGUCUCUAACCAACGAGAUCUGCGCCGUCGCUAACGCAUUAAGUGCCCGCCUGGGGAGUACGGUCGCGAAGACUUAAACUCAAAGGAAUUGACGG